GACGAACGCUGGCGGCGUGCUUAACACAUGCAAGUCGAACGGAAAGGCCCUGCUUUUGUGGGGUGCUCGAGUGGCGAACGGGUGAGUAACACGUGAGUAACCUGCCCUUGACUUUGGGAUAACUUCAGGAAACUGGGGCUAAUACCGGAUAGGAGCUCCUGCUGCAUGGUGGGGGUUGGAAAGUUUCGGCGGUUGGGGAUGGACUCGCGGCUUAUCAGCUUGUUGGUGGGGUAGUGGCUUACCAAGGCUUUGACGGGUAGCCGGCCUGAGAGGGUGACCGGCCAAAUUGGGACUGAACUACGGCCCAGACUGCUACGGUAGGCAGCAGUGGGGAAUAUUGAACAAUGGGCGGAAGCCUGAUGCAGCAACGCGGCGUGCGGGAUGACGGCCUUCGGGUUGUAAACCGCUUUCGCCUGUGACGAAGCGUGAGUGACGGUAAUGGGUAGAGGAGGACCGGCUAACUACGUG
RNAcentral lists this ribosomal RNA (468 nucleotides) under uncultured bacterium. Its description in RNAcentral is "partial 16S ribosomal RNA". It matches the Rfam family "Bacterial small subunit ribosomal RNA", at positions 28 to 507 of the family's 1533-position model. The record is from RNAcentral.